Molecule: transfer RNA, 69 nt
Filed under: Chrotopterus auritus
Lineage: Eukaryota; Metazoa; Chordata; Mammalia; Chiroptera; Phyllostomidae
Description: tRNA-Val
Rfam family: tRNA
About the family: Transfer RNA (tRNA) molecules are approximately 80 nucleotides in length. Their secondary structure includes four short double-helical elements and three loops (D, anti-codon, and T loops).
Source: RNAcentral
CAAAGUAUAGCUCAAACUUAAAGCAUCUAGCUUACACCUAGAAGAUGUCAUAUAAGAUGACUACUUUGA